UACAGAGGUCUCAAGCGUUGUUCGGAUUCAUUGGGCGUAAAGCGCGUGUAGGCGGCUAUGCAAGUCGGGAGUGAAAUCUCUGGGCUUAACCCAGAGGCUGCUUCCGAAACUGCUGUGCUUGAGUGUGGGAGAGGCGCGUGGAAUUGCAGGUGUAGCGGUGAAAUGCGUAGAUAUCUGCAGGAACACCCGUGGCGAAAGCGGCGCGCUGGACCACUACUGACGCUGAGGAACGAAAGCUAGGGGAGCAAACAGG
Molecule: ribosomal RNA, 253 nt
Filed under: uncultured bacterium
Lineage: Bacteria
Description: partial 16S ribosomal RNA
Rfam family: Bacterial small subunit ribosomal RNA
Source: RNAcentral